AUUGAACGCUGGCGGCAGGCCUAACACAUGCAAGUCGAGCGAGCGGCGGACGGGUGAGUAAUGUAUGGGGACUGCCCGAUAGAGGGGGAUAACUACUGGAAACGGUAGCUAAUACCGCAUACUAUCGGAUAACCCAUAUGGGAUUAGCUCGUAGGUGAGGUAAUGGCUCACCUAGGCGACGAUCACUAGCUGGUCUGAGAGGAGGAUCAGCGACAAGGGAACGGAGACACGACCCAGACUCCUACGGAGGGAGCAGUGGGGAAUAGGGAAAAAGGGGCGCAAGCAUGAUGCAGCCAUGCCGCGUGUAUGAAGAAGGCACGAGGGGUGUAAAGUACUUUAAGUCGGGAGGCGUUACCGACAGAAGAAGCACCGGCUAACUCCGUGCCAGCAGCCGCGGUAAUUC
RNAcentral lists this ribosomal RNA (403 nucleotides) under uncultured bacterium. RNAcentral describes it as "partial 16S ribosomal RNA". It matches the Rfam family "Bacterial small subunit ribosomal RNA", at positions 29 to 526 of the family's 1533-position model. The record is from RNAcentral.